Molecule: small nuclear RNA, 115 nt
Filed under: Oncorhynchus tshawytscha (Chinook salmon)
Lineage: Eukaryota; Metazoa; Chordata; Actinopteri; Salmoniformes; Salmonidae
Description: U5 spliceosomal RNA
Rfam family: U5 spliceosomal RNA
About the family: U5 RNA is a component of both types of known spliceosome. The precise function of this molecule is unknown, though it is known that the 5' loop is required for splice site selection and p220 binding, and that both the 3' stem-loop and the Sm site are important for Sm protein binding and cap methylation.
Source: Rfam by way of RNAcentral
UGACUCUGUUUCUCUUCAUUACGCACAAGCCUUUCGCCUUUUACUAAAGACCUUCCGUGGGGGAACACUUACGAGUUCAACGUAUUUUUGGAGCGGCUUUGCUUCUUGCAGAGCC